Long non-coding RNA from Psammomys obesus (fat sand rat), 1560 nucleotides. RefSeq lists it as uncharacterized. Lineage: Eukaryota; Metazoa; Chordata; Mammalia; Rodentia; Muridae. The transcript has 4 exons. The record is from RefSeq and is a predicted model, not a curated record.
ACCAAUGACAACAGCUUCUCUCCUGAGCUGUGUGGGGCUUGCAGGGCCCAGAUGACACAGGAGGGGAUGGGGCAGACUCAGCCUGUCUCCAGAGGACAGUGAAAGGCACCCGGAAACAAGAAACUCAGCAUAUACUUCACAAAAGCCCAGCCCGAGCCGAUCAGGGCGAUGGUGAUGAAGAGAAGGGCGCCCUUCAGCCUGGGGGAGCCAGGGCGGGGAGGCGUGACGAUGCGGUGGGGACCCUCCCUCCCUUCCUGUGUGCCCACCUGUGUGCAGAGAUGGCGACUCACAGAGCACAGACACCCAGAAGAUGCCAGCAGCCAGGAAGCAGGCAGACAUGAUCAGGUAGAGCUUGAAGAGGGGGAUCUCAGCCGCUGACAAGAAGCCUUCUGGAUUCUUCUCUCGGAUCAUUACCUGUACGGGGGGAAUGCAGGGCUGCAGGCUCUCAUGGAGAAGACAGGGCCCCGACACCACACCCGUUCCCCCUCAUCCCUCGGAAGCCCUCUACUCACCGAGUAGGAGCGAACGCUGCCAGAUCGUACCCGGUUCAAGCUGAAUCCCACCUGAAGGAAAAGAGAAAACAGUGAAGGGCUCCCAAAGCAUCCACCAGAAGAGAUGCAACCUAGUUCUGUUCUGCUUUGAGACAGGACUCGUUACAUAGCCCUAGCUGGCAGGGGAUUCACCGAGGUUGGCCAGGCUGGGGGUUGAACUUGCGAAUUUGCAGCAACUCUCCAGCCGCCUCACCAUGUAGCAGCAGUUCUGGCUCAUCUCACAGGUACUGAACGCCCGCCAUAUGCUAGAUUUCCAAUGACCUGCCCCUGGCUCUCAAUGCUCAUAGGGAAUGUACUUCCUUUGAGACACUGUUCACAGCCUGAUUGCCUUUACUCACUUAAAAUGUUAACGGUGCUGGACAGGAGAGAGCAUGGUUGCAAUUUCAUAGGCUAAGGCAGGAGGGACUUAAGUUUGAGGCUAAGCUGCACUACGUCAGACCCUGUUGCAAAACAAACUGUCAAAAUGAGGCUGCUUGCCAGGCACAGUGAUGCAUGCCUUUGAAUACCAGCGGUAGACGUCUGUGAGUUCAAAGCCAGCCUGGUCGACAUAGUGAGUUCUAGGACAGCCAGAGCUACAUAGUGAGGCCCUGUCUUGAACACCACACCCAAACCAAAAACAAAUAAGCAAGCAAGCAAACAAACAAACAAAAAGAGAAAAUAAGGCUGCUAUAAAUGGGACAUUUAUAUCACACCUCUUUUCCAAAGGCUCAGGGAACAUCGCUGAAGAAGAAGGAAAGACUGUAAAAGCCAGAAGUUGGGGAGGACUGGAGCAGAAAAAAAAAAGUCUUCUGGCCAUGGCAGACUGCUGCUUAUGAACUCACAGCAGCCAUGGUCGCCUGCACAGGAGCAAGCUGGUCAACAUUCCAGCAAAGAAAGAAGAGUGCUCAAAACCCCACACCUAGCUGAGGAGCUAAGGCCAGCGGAUGAAUGAUGGGUGAAGAAGAGCAAGUUUUCUUUAGGGGUGUAGCCCCAGAUGAAAAUGAAAAAAGAACACAGGCCUUUACUCUCA